Non-coding RNA from Schistosoma curassoni, 45 nucleotides. NCBI's taxonomy places the organism in Eukaryota, Metazoa, Platyhelminthes, Trematoda, Strigeidida, Schistosomatidae. The record is from Rfam.
ACCCAGAUGACGAGUCCCAAAUAGGACGAAACACUCGUCCUGUAU